UUUCUAUAUGUGGAUGGGCUUGUCAUAAGUGGCCAUGGCUGCUUCUUUCAGAGCUUCGCUCAUUGUUGGAUGUGCGUGGCAUGUACGAGCAAUGUCCUCACUUGAUGCUCCAUAAUGCAAGGCCAGGACUGCUUCGUGAAUAAGCUCACCUGCGUUGGGUGCCAUGAUAUGAACGCCCAAGAUUUUAUCAGUCUCUUUCUCAGCAAGUACCUUUACAAUUCCUUCAGCAUCGUCAAUUGCCUUGGCCCUACUGUUUGCAAGGAAAGGAAAUUUGCCAACGCGAUAAUCAAGUCCAAGGGCCUUAACCUGUUCUUCAGUUUUCCCAACGGAAGCAACCUCUGGGUGAGUGUAACAAACACCAGGAACCAAAUCGUAGUCCACAUGACCCUCUUUGCCUGCAAUGAAUUCC
RNAcentral lists this long non-coding RNA (409 nucleotides) under Capsicum annuum. RNAcentral describes it as "long non-coding RNA (CANN_LNC008917)". Lineage: Eukaryota; Viridiplantae; Streptophyta; Magnoliopsida; Solanales; Solanaceae. The record is from RNAcentral.